GAUAUUGCACAAUGGGGGAAACCCUGAUGCAGCGACGCCGCGUGAGGGAAGACGGUCUUCUGGAUUGUAAACCUCUGUCUUCGGGGACGAUAAUGACGGUACCCGAGGAGGAAGUCACGGCUAACUACGUGCCAGCAGCCGCGGUAAUACGUAGGUGGCAAGCGUUGUCCGGAAUUACUGGGUGUAAAGGGAGCGUAGGCGGGGAUGCAAGUUGAAUGUUUAAUCUAUGGGCUCAACCCAUAUCAGCGUUCAAAACUGUGUCUCUUGAGUGAAGUAGAGGCAGGCGGAAUUCCUAGUGUAGCGGUGAAAUGCGUAGAUAUUAGGAGGAACACCAGUGGCGAAGGCGGCCUGCUGGGCUUUUACUGACGCUGAGGCUCGAAAGUGCGGGGAGCAAACA
This 397-nucleotide ribosomal RNA is filed under the name uncultured bacterium. RNAcentral's name for it is "partial 16S ribosomal RNA". It matches the Rfam family "Bacterial small subunit ribosomal RNA", at positions 359 to 774 of the family's 1533-position model. The record is from RNAcentral.